UGAGAAAAGACCUGUUUUGAUGUGAAUGA
RNAcentral lists this non-coding RNA (29 nucleotides) under Mus musculus (house mouse). The record is from RNAcentral. Lineage: Eukaryota; Metazoa; Chordata; Mammalia; Rodentia; Muridae.